Molecule: long non-coding RNA, 1614 nt
Organism: Oncorhynchus mykiss (rainbow trout)
Lineage: Eukaryota; Metazoa; Chordata; Actinopteri; Salmoniformes; Salmonidae
Source: RefSeq, a predicted model, not a curated record
UGCGCGCACAGGUGUUCACCACAGGUGGAUGGUGAGGAAAUGUGCCGUCCUGUAAAACGAGUUCAGCUCUUCCCUGCCGUUAUUUGAGCUCAAUCACUCAUACAGCUUAGGAAUGGCUCACAGCUGCGUGGGGAACUGUGCGCCGUUAUUUUUCCUAGCCAUCGCUUUUGACGUCUGCGGUUUGAUAGUUAUUUUAGUUGGUAUUUUCGCCGAUCUAAAGUUGGACGGUCACUUCUACGGUGAUUUCCUAAUCUACACGGGUGCACUCAUCAUUUUCCUCAGUCUGGCUUGGUGGAUUUUGUGGUACACGGGCAACAUAAUGGUUUACUCCGAGGACUUUGAUAAAAGCACCCUGGACAAUUUUGCGCACAGGGCAAGAAAGUUUUCGGAAAGGAUCUCGAAGAGCAAUAUUAAAACUCUGGAAGCUGGGGAGAAGUGCAAGUGGAAUGGAAAGGAAUCAGUGAACGGAACGGUUCCUGAUCAAACUCUAUCACGAAUUACGUGUGAACACAGCAGCAGCCUGACGGGACGCGACAAUCUAGGAUAUGACCGAAGUUUUGACCACCAGCCUACAGCGAAAACGGUGGAGUUGGGGAUUCUGAAUAAUUCUGAGGUGUUGCAGAGCAUUAUGGAUGGAAAAGUGGUUAGGCUUCUCUGACACACAGUUGGGUUAACCGAAGGCCUUCAAAAAGGGGCGCCAGUGGCCUAACCCUGAUCUAGGUGAUCUCUGGUUCUCCGGUUUUGAAGAAAGUAUGCCUCACUCCUCCCCAAGAGCUGCUUUUUAAAUCCAUACAGACUGUAAACCUUUUCGCCUAUAUGAACUAAAGACACUUUAAAUAUAGAAGACUACUUUCAUUCAGGGAGAGGCCCCGCGCUGAAGCAAUCUCCGGGCCCUGCACAAAAGAUAGAAAUGUCUGUGAAUUUUACUUGUAAAUGGAUAAAUAACUAGAUUAUUUUAUGUCCUGAAUUUUACAUGGUCUGUUUUGAAGAUGUUUUUUUUAGAAAAUAAUAACUCAAUUUCUCUGGGUUCUUAAUCAGACAUCUGUGACUGGAUAGCUCACACAACAACAAAGAUAUUGGAUUCCACUUCUGCUGGAAGUAGGUGUUAUUCAGACAAAUUGAGGUUCCAGAAAGAGAGAAGUUAAUUAGAUAAUUAUAAUAUUCAAAAUUCAUUUGAGGGACAUCAACAAAUCAAAACAACUUCCAAAGCUCAGAUCCUUUAUUCAUGUUUGUGUUUGUGUCUGGUUAGCAGAUCAAUGCUACAUACCUAUCUGACUGGUCUGUUUGGGGUGUGUUGAUUGCAACUAAGCUGUCUGUCUGCCACUGGUUAUACUGAUUACAUAUUCCCCACACACACACACACACACACACACACACACACACACACACACACACACACACACACACACACACACACACACACACACACACACACACACACACACACUGAGACGGUAUAGAAUGUAUCAUGUAGAACAGAUUGUCUGUUCUAUUCAUUAUAUUUCUAUAUGCAACAUCCUGAACCUAGCUGAAUACACACCGGCACAAAGACUAUCUCCAUUCCAGAAACUGCCUUGUCACCUGUAAAAAAAUAAAUAAAUACAUCUUUACAAA